UCCGGCUUAUCACCGGCAGUUUUCUCAGAGUGCUCAGCUUAACCUGUUAGCAACAGAGAAUGAGGGUUGCGCUCGUUGCGGGACUUAACCCAACAUCUCACGACACGAGCUGACGACAGCCAUGCAGCACCUGUGCUCCUCCCACCCGAAGUGAAGAAACUCCUUUCAGAGUCUCAUAGAGGGCAUGUCAAGUCUUGGUAAGGUUCUUCGCGUUGCCUCGAAUUAAACCACAUGUUCCACCGCUUGUGCGGGUCCCCGUCAAUUCCUUUGAGUUUUAAUCUUGCGACCGUACUCCCCAGGCGGGAUGCUUAACGCGUUAGCUGCGCCACUGAGGGGUAACCCCCCAACGGCUAGCAUCCAUCGUUUACAGCGUGGACUAC
Molecule: unclassified non-coding RNA, 380 nt
Filed under: uncultured Rickettsiales bacterium
Lineage: Bacteria; Pseudomonadati; Pseudomonadota; Alphaproteobacteria; Rickettsiales
Description: contains 16S-23S intergenic spacer region
Source: RNAcentral